AGUGAACGCUGGCGGUAGGCCUAACACAUGCAGGUCGAACGGCAGCACAGGAGAGCUUGCUCUCUGGGUGGCGAGUGGCGGACGGGUGAGGAAUACAUCGGAAUCUACUCUGUCGUGGGGGAUAACGUAGGGAAACUUACGCUAAUACCGCAUACGACCUACGGGUGAAAGCAGGGGACCUUCGGGCCUUGCGCGAUUGAAUGAGCCGAUGUCGGAUUAGCUAGUUGGCGGGGUAAAGGCCCACCAAGGCGACGAUCCGUAGCUGGUCUGAAAAUAUGAUCACCCACACUGUAACUGUGACCCGGUCCAGACUGCGACGGGGGGCGGCAGUGGGUAAUAGUGGAGAAUGGGGGCAAGCCUGAUCCAGCCAUACAGCGUGUGUGAUAAAGGCCUUCGGCUGAUAACGACCUUUUCUUGGGCAAGAACAACAGCUAGCUAAUACUCGGUUGUGAAGAAGGUACCCUAACAAUGAGCACCGGCUAAAUUCGUGUCAGGAGCCGUAAUAA
This 506-nucleotide ribosomal RNA is filed under the name uncultured bacterium. Its description in RNAcentral is "partial 16S ribosomal RNA". It matches the Rfam family "Bacterial small subunit ribosomal RNA", at positions 29 to 523 of the family's 1533-position model. The record is from RNAcentral.